This 54-nucleotide transfer RNA is filed under the name Pratylenchus vulnus (walnut meadow nematode). Its description in RNAcentral is "tRNA-Tyr". The record is from RNAcentral. Lineage: Eukaryota; Metazoa; Nematoda; Chromadorea; Rhabditida; Pratylenchidae.
GGAUUAGUAGUUUAUGAUAAAACUUUGGUCUGUAAAACCAAUAAAUUUAAUCUU